UGCAUAUGGCUGAGAAUUGAAUAUAACAAUAGUUUGGAUAGAGAAGUCUUUUGGUGACCCUCAAAGGCUUCCACUACUUCAUUUUACGAUUGAUCAUUCAAUAUCAAGAAACAUGAAGGCGCGGGAGCCUACGAAGGUUCACUGAAGGAACUACUCAUAUAUAUAUACUGAUCAUCCUUGUGGGCCAAAUACUGUGAGUGUUUGAACUCUUCAUAUGUUAUUUCAUUGGAUUUGCAGUUUUAUGUUGGAGUUCCAAUGUCUACUUCGGUUUUAGUUUGUUUGCAACUACUUUUGAAGUCCGCAGCUGUUAUCACAAACACAGGAAUGAGAAAGAUUAUCUAUAAAUGAGAAAAAAAUAAAUUUAGACAGUACCUAAUUUUCUAUUGAGAAAAAUGUUAGGAACACGGUACACUCAAUUAUUAGUUAAAAUUUAUUGUAAGUUACAAAAUUCUGUAGAUCUUUCCUUAAAUAAUGAAUCUAACAUGUGAUUUUGUUAUUUUUAA
This 503-nucleotide long non-coding RNA is filed under the name Glycine max (soybean). RNAcentral describes it as "long non-coding RNA (GMAX_LNC004259)". Lineage: Eukaryota; Viridiplantae; Streptophyta; Magnoliopsida; Fabales; Fabaceae. The record is from RNAcentral.